RNAcentral lists this microRNA precursor (89 nucleotides) under Octodon degus (degu). Its description in RNAcentral is "miRNA (ENSODEG00000021883.1)". The record is from RNAcentral. Lineage: Eukaryota; Metazoa; Chordata; Mammalia; Rodentia; Octodontidae.
GCUGGGGCCUUUCCCCAGCCUGCUAGACCUUCCCAUGGCUGCUGGCCUUGAACAAGAGCCUCCGUGUGUCCCUGGAUGGGGCCAGGUCU